GGUUGUGUGGUGUAGGGGUUAGCACUCCAGAUUCUGAUGUCCUUCACUGCAUUGGUAAAGAUUUCUGGUAACCCCGGUUCGAUUCCGGGCACGACCU
Molecule: non-coding RNA, 97 nt
Organism: Mycena maculata
Lineage: Eukaryota; Fungi; Basidiomycota; Agaricomycetes; Agaricales; Mycenaceae
Source: the annotation of a GenBank genome assembly